Long non-coding RNA from Sarcophilus harrisii (Tasmanian devil), 1574 nucleotides. The record is from Ensembl. Lineage: Eukaryota; Metazoa; Chordata; Mammalia; Dasyuromorphia; Dasyuridae.
ACUAAUUGUUGUUGUAUUAAAGCUUUUUAUUUUUUUACUCUUUAACAUUAGCCCUUGCAAAACCUUGUGUCCCAAUUUUCCCUCCCUUCCCCCACCCCCUCCCCUAGACGGCAAGUAGUCCAAUAUGUUAAAUAUGGUAGAAAUAUGUGCUAAAUCCAGCACGGGCAUACAUAUUCAUACAAUCACCGCCUAGUCACCAAGGGCUCCGUGACGUGCGGAGGCGAAGCCAGGACGUGCCCUGAGUCGGCCGGAAGUGCGGGAGGCUGGCAAGGCCGCCGGCCUCCCCUCCCCCCAGAGCCCUCCGGGUCCGGUGGCAAAUACAAAUCCGGGCGGCCGGAGGGCGGCCGCCGAUGGGUCCCAGGACGUCCCGCCGUGGAAGAAGUGACGGAGAGAAGGGACCGAGUGCCUCAUGUGGGGAUCAGAGACGGCCCCUUCCGCUAGGUUACAAAGGAGGAGAAUUAGGCCGCUGUUUGGGCCCUGACUGACUGAGACGGAUGUCACUUCUGCUUCGGCCAGAGCCCCCCUCCCAGAGCCACUUAUGUACCUAGACGUUUGGGGGCGAGGUGAAAGAGGCGGCCCUGAGUCCCCAACCUGGAUCGCCCGGUGGGCGCUGCCUCCGGCUGAGAAGAGGGCCGCUCCAACAGCCCGAGGCCUUCCCUUGGCCCCUGCCCGGAGCUGAGUCUGCGGCCCCGGGGCAGCUGCCCGCGGCGCCCCCGCGGGAGACGCGCCCCUCGGACCCCAGGCUGCAGGCGCGGGCCUCCUCGCCGCUCCGGAGGCGCCCCUUCCUUUCCCCCGCCCGGGCAGUGACUUCCCCGCUGACGAACGGCGCCCGGGAGCCUGCCGGCAGCGUUCCGAGUCCCCUGCCAGACUUGCAGUCUGGAAGCAACACCGUCCCCCAGCCUUCGCCUGUUGAGCUCGAACCGUGUUUAUAGAGCAAGACAGGACUCGGAUGCUAAACGUCUAACACCCGACGGGAGGGGGGGGAGAAGAGUAUAUGCACCCAAACUUUAGACUAUAGUCUGCAGUAUAACAUUUCUUAGAGUCUAGGCAAUCUACAGAGCAAUAAAUCUAGCCCUGAUUUGCAAUGGAUUUCUUUAUUUUGAACAGCUUUUUAUUUUUCCAACUACAUGCAAAGGUAGUUUCCAACAUUCAUCUUUGUAAAACCUUGUGUUCCAAUUUUCCCGCCCCUCCUCUCCACCCCCUCCCAUAGACCGCAAGCAAUCCAAUAUAGGUUAGACGUGUGCAGCUCUUCUAAACUUAAUUUCCAUAUUCGUUAAGGGCAGUGGGUUUCCUAGGUGUGAAUACUCACACUGAAAAUUAACAAUCAACUGGCUCUCUCUCAAGCUAGUUAAGAGUGGGCGCCAGCAGAUCCCAGGAGAAUCUCUUCUUCCUGAGUGGAGGAGUCAUCUUGUUGUUCAUUGAGGAGCCCGAAGAAAGUCUGCAAUAAUUUAGGUAGAAAAUAGAAGGGGGGAAAUGGCAAAAGAAAACAAAAUAAAGUUCCUUUUGCUUUUCAUCUAUAACGGAGGUGAUCCUCCUGGAAGCAUCAGUGGCUCUGGGAGUGAUGAUAGUUGUGU